Mauremys mutica (yellowpond turtle) is the source of this 1022-nucleotide long non-coding RNA. RefSeq lists it as uncharacterized. The transcript is spliced from 5 exons. The record is from RefSeq and is a predicted model, not a curated record. NCBI's taxonomy places the organism in Eukaryota, Metazoa, Chordata, Testudines, Geoemydidae.
GGAGAGCAUUCUGACACACUGACGUAGCUACGCCUGGAGGGGGAAAAGACAGCAAGAUGGAAAUCUAGGCACCAUAAUAACCCCAUUGAUUCGUGCACUGGCAUACUACUUCUGUUAGGGAAUAGACACUUUGUGGAAUCACCUAGGAGUCCCAGCCAAGAUCAGUGCCCCAUCGUGCGGGCACUGGAAAGACACAGCCCCUACCCCAAAGUCCUCACCAUCUCAUCAGACAAGACAGGCAAAGGGUGAAGAUUAAACAGAGGCACAGAGAGGAGAAGGGAUUUGCAUGUGGUCACAUGCAGAGUGCCAUCAAACAACUGUGUAUUGCACAUCCAAGGAUCUCACUUGGAUUUCCUUAGAAAAAUGCGUAUAUGUUGUUGAAGAAGCAGAAAAGACUCCAAGGAAUUUGAAGAUUGAGCUGUCUGGAAGCUGUGAAAACCAACCCAUAUGUACCCAAGCACUUCUGCGGACUAAGCAAGAGAUGCAGUUACACUGGCAACACUUUCCCAUCAAACAAGUGAAUAUCUGUUGAUCCUGAAGUACUGGUCUAGUGCACUCUAGUCCAGACGACACUGCCUCUCCAGUUUGUGUAAACAGAACUAGUGUUUGCUAAAAGGAGAAUUUUGGGGCAUUGGCUGGAGAGCUAAGCACCAGCAAGCCCCCAUUCUGCAGCUGUGAAAGAAGCAAUCUCUAGGAACCAUACUAGGAUGAAGACACUUCAGUGUGUGGACUAACUUCUGGGACUUCACAAGAUCUGCCAGAGGAAAUCAGCACACUGAACAGGAACUUAGUGGAUGGACGGACACGCACAGAAACACAAAACAAAUGGACAUACUCAUGCAGGUGGAAACAUGGAGAUUCACCCUAUUGUUUAGCCGCUGUUGUUGGUUGUCUGUUUAAUUGCUUAGCUCCUGAAGGAGAACAUGGGGAAUAGCCCCAUAUGUCAGCAGCCCGGCUGAAAAGUACUGCCAUAAAUUGUAUUAAGCCUGUAUGGAAAUCAAUCCAAGUAUUUCUUGGAUUUC